This 71-nucleotide transfer RNA is filed under the name Lactococcus cremoris. Its description in RNAcentral is "Lactococcus lactis subsp. cremoris tRNA-OTHER". It matches the Rfam family "tRNA". Rfam says of the family: Transfer RNA (tRNA) molecules are approximately 80 nucleotides in length. The record is from RNAcentral. Lineage: Bacteria; Bacillati; Bacillota; Bacilli; Lactobacillales; Streptococcaceae.
GGUUCUGUAGUGUGCGGUUAUCACGUCGCCCUGUCCGGCGAAGAUCGCGGGUUCGAUUCACGUCAGAACGU